GGGCAGAUGAUGAGUUAUUUGUAUUUUGUGCUUAUCAAACCGUGAAGCUACAAAAUCGAGCUUUUUAAAACUGAUGCCCU
This is a small nucleolar RNA of Salvia splendens (bonfire salvia), 80 nucleotides long. The record is from RefSeq and is a predicted model, not a curated record. NCBI's taxonomy places the organism in Eukaryota, Viridiplantae, Streptophyta, Magnoliopsida, Lamiales, Lamiaceae.